Molecule: transfer RNA, 66 nt
Filed under: Prosthiochaeta sp. CAU WL-2019511
Lineage: Eukaryota; Metazoa; Arthropoda; Insecta; Diptera; Platystomatidae
Description: tRNA-His
Source: RNAcentral
AUUUAAAUAGUUUAAUUAAAAUAUUGAUUUGUGGUGUCAAUGAUAUGAUUUUUAUCAUUUUAGAUU